This 497-nucleotide ribosomal RNA is filed under the name uncultured bacterium. RNAcentral describes it as "partial 16S ribosomal RNA". It matches the Rfam family "Bacterial small subunit ribosomal RNA", at positions 28 to 507 of the family's 1533-position model. The record is from RNAcentral.
GAUGAACGCUGGCGGCGUGCCUAAUACAUGCAAGUCGAGCGAACGGACGAGAAGCUUGCUUCUCUGAUGUUAGCGGCGGACGGGUGAGUAACACGUGGAUAACCUACCUAUAAGACUGGGAUAACUUCGGGAAACCGGAGCUAAUACCGGAUAAUAUUUUGAACCGCAUGGUUCAAAAGUGAAAGACGGUCUUGCUGUCACCUAUAGAUGGAUCCGCGCUGCAUUAGCUAGUUGGUAAGGUAACGGCUUACCAAGGCAACGAUGCAUAGCCGACCUGAGAGGGUGAUCGGCCACACUGGAACUGAGACACGGUCCAGACUCCUACGGGAGGCAGCAGUCGGGAAUCUUCCGCAAUGGGCGAAAGCCUGACGGAGCAACGCCGCGUGAGUGAUGAAGGUCUUCGGAUCGUAAAACUCUGUUAUUAGGGAAGAACAUAUGUGUAAGUAACUGUGCACAUCUUGACGGUACCUAAUCAGAAAGCCACGGCUAACUACGUG